UCCACAAGGUGGCAGCACCUGGCUGACCUUGGCCAAUAUCAGGAAGCUAAGCAAGAUAGCACCUAGUUAGUGUUUGGAUGGGAGACUACCAGGAAAUUGCAGGGCUAUGGAC
Molecule: ribosomal RNA, 112 nt
Filed under: Salvator merianae (Argentine black and white tegu)
Lineage: Eukaryota; Metazoa; Chordata; Lepidosauria; Squamata; Teiidae
Source: RNAcentral